Molecule: small nuclear RNA, 107 nt
Organism: Psammomys obesus (fat sand rat)
Lineage: Eukaryota; Metazoa; Chordata; Mammalia; Rodentia; Muridae
Source: RefSeq, a predicted model, not a curated record
GUGCUUGCUUCAGUAGCAUAUAUACUAAAAUUGGAAUGACACAGAGAAGAUUAGCAUGGCUCCUGUGCAAGUCUGACAAGAAAAUUCAUGAAGUGUUCCAUAUUUUA